GCACCCGUAGCUUAACUGGAUAGAGCAUCUGACUACGGAUCAGAAGGUUAGGGGUUCGACUCCCUUCGGGUGCA
Molecule: transfer RNA, 74 nt
Filed under: Bacteroidota bacterium
Lineage: Bacteria; Pseudomonadati; Bacteroidota
Also listed under: 2 other names
Description: Bacteroidetes bacterium (activated sludge metagenome) tRNA-Arg
Rfam family: tRNA
About the family: Transfer RNA (tRNA) molecules are approximately 80 nucleotides in length. Their secondary structure includes four short double-helical elements and three loops (D, anti-codon, and T loops). Further hydrogen bonds mediate the characteristic L-shaped molecular structure. tRNAs have two regions of fundamental functional importance: the anti-codon, which is responsible for specific mRNA codon recognition, and the 3' end, to which the tRNAs corresponding amino acid is attached (by aminoacyl-tRNA synthetases). tRNAs cope with the degeneracy of the genetic code in two manners: having more than one tRNA (with a specific anti-codon) for a particular amino acid; and 'wobble' base-pairing, i.e. permitting non-standard base-pairing at the 3rd anti-codon position.
Source: RNAcentral